GGUGGUGUCGAUGGUUGUGUCAGCUCGUGUCGUGAGAUGUUGGGUUUAAGUCCCGCAACGAGCGCAACCCUCGUUCUAUGUUGCCAGCACGUCAUGGUGGGAACUCAUAGGAGACUGCCGGGGUCAACUCGGAGGAAGGUGGGGAUGACGUCAAAUCAUCAUGCCCCUUAUGUCUUGGGCUUCACGCAUGCUACAAUGGCCGAUACAAAGGGCUGCAAUACCGUAAGGUGGAGCGAAUCCCAAAAAGUCGGUCUCAGUUCGGAUUGAGGUCUGCAACUCGACCUCAUGAAGUCGGAGUCGCUAGUAAUCGCAGAUCAGCAACGCUGCGGUGAAUACGUUCCCGGGCCUU
Molecule: ribosomal RNA, 349 nt
Filed under: uncultured Microbacteriaceae bacterium
Lineage: Bacteria; Bacillati; Actinomycetota; Actinomycetes; Micrococcales; Microbacteriaceae
Description: bacterial SSU rRNA
Rfam family: Bacterial small subunit ribosomal RNA
Source: RNAcentral